Molecule: non-coding RNA, 102 nt
Filed under: uncultured Terrisporobacter sp.
Lineage: Bacteria; Bacillati; Bacillota; Clostridia; Peptostreptococcales; Peptostreptococcaceae
Description: SAM riboswitch (S box leader)
Rfam family: SAM riboswitch aptamer (S box leader)
About the family: The SAM riboswitch is found upstream of a number of genes which code for proteins involved in methionine or cysteine biosynthesis in Gram-positive bacteria.
Source: RNAcentral
CUUAUCAAGAGUGGUGGAGGGACAGGCCCUAUGAUACCCGGCAACCGAUAUAUAUUUAUAUAAGAAGGUGCUAAAUCCUGCAGCUUAUGCUGAAAGAUGAGA